RNAcentral lists this ribosomal RNA (500 nucleotides) under uncultured bacterium. Its description in RNAcentral is "partial 16S ribosomal RNA". It matches the Rfam family "Bacterial small subunit ribosomal RNA", at positions 30 to 523 of the family's 1533-position model. The record is from RNAcentral.
AUUGAACGCUGGCGGCGGGCCUAACACAUGCAAGUCGAGCGGAUGACGGGAGCUUGCUCCUGGAUUCAGCGGCGGACGGGUGAGUAAUGCCUAGGAAUCUGCCUGGUAGUGGGGGACAACGUUUCGAAAGGAACGCUAAUACCGCAUACGUCCUACGGGAGAAAGCAGGGGACCUUCGGGCCUUGCGCUAUCAGAUGAGCCUAGGUCGGAUUAGCUAGUUGGUGAGGUAAUGGCUCACCAAGGCGACGAUCCGUAACUGGUCUGAGAGGAUGAUCAGUCACACUGGAACUGAGACACGGUCCAGACUCCUACGGGAGGCAGCAGUGGGGAAUAUUGGACAAUGGGCGAAAGCUUGAUCCAGCCAUGCCGCGUGUGUGAAGAAGGUCUUCGGAUUGUAAAGCACUUUAAGUUGGGAGGAAGGGUUGUAGAUUAAUACUCUGCAAUUUUGACGUUACCGACAGAAUAAGCACCGGCUAACUCUGUGCCAGCCGCCGCCGUAA